Zonotrichia leucophrys gambelii is the source of this 556-nucleotide long non-coding RNA. RefSeq lists it as uncharacterized. NCBI's taxonomy places the organism in Eukaryota, Metazoa, Chordata, Aves, Passeriformes, Passerellidae. The record is from RefSeq and is a predicted model, not a curated record. The transcript has 3 exons.
UCCCUCUUGCAGGCCAGUGCUCUCUUCAGGGUGCUGCUGCUGCUCUGAACACUCAAUCUGCAUGAAUCUGUGGUGGAGGACAGAGCAGACAGUGGUUGCAUCAGCUGGACUAAGUCUAGGAAAAUGAGAAGUAGUUCAAAGGGGAGGGAGAAGAAUUCUUGAAUGAAAGGAGCUUGAGAAUUUGCAUUGGAGAGAAUCUGAAGACUCUGGUUCUGCUUUAACUGAACUGCUUGGCUGGGGUUCGUUCCACUCUGAAAAUACCACAGUGAGGGUGUGAGGAGGGAUUACAUCAAACACGUAAUUACCCCAAGGGUGUUCCGUCAGCCCCAUUUUGGACAGUGGUUUCAGUCACAGCACCAUCCCCAGUUCCUGCUGGUGAUACAUUGCUUCUCACAUCAUCAGUGUUCACUACAUAACAUUCUAUUUCUGCCAGAUGGGCUCAGCAGUUUCAAUGCUUAGAUGACUCUAGACAAGGAUUUUUCCCCUGUGUUAAUCUGAAACUCCACAAGUCGAAUGCUUGAAUGCUUUUUUCAGCUAUACACAAAUCUUUGCCUGU